Molecule: small nucleolar RNA, 106 nt
Filed under: Olea europaea subsp. europaea
Lineage: Eukaryota; Viridiplantae; Streptophyta; Magnoliopsida; Lamiales; Oleaceae
Description: Plant small nucleolar RNA R71
Rfam family: Plant small nucleolar RNA R71
About the family: R71 is a member of the C/D box family of snoRNAs containing the C (UGAUGA) and D (CUGA) box motifs.
Source: Rfam by way of RNAcentral
AUGUUCAGAUUGGGGCACAUUUUGAAGUAAUUUUUGAAUCUUUCAUAUGCUUCUGGAUAGCUCUCAAGGUCCAUUUGCUUAAAAAUAUGGAAUUCAUUUAUGAUCU